UACGCAGGGUGCAAGCGUUAAUCGGAAUUACUGGGCGUAAAGCGUGCGCAGGCGGUUUUGUAAGUCUGUCGUGAAAUCCCCGGGCUCAACCUGGGAAUUGCGAUGGAGACUGCAAGGCUAGAAUCUGGCAGAGGGGGGUAGAAUUCCACGUGUAGCAGUGAAAUGCGUAGAUAUCUGGAGGAACACCGGUGGCGAAGGCGGCAUCCUGGACCGGUAUUGACGCUGAGGCGCGAAAGCUAGGGGAGCAAACGGG
Molecule: ribosomal RNA, 253 nt
Filed under: uncultured bacterium
Lineage: Bacteria
Description: partial 16S ribosomal RNA
Rfam family: Bacterial small subunit ribosomal RNA
Source: RNAcentral